UACGUAGGGGGCAAGCGUUGUCCGGAAUUAUUGGGCGUAAAGCGCGCGCAGGCGGCUUCUUAAGUCUGAUGUGAAAGCCCACGGCUUAACCGUGGAGGGUCAUUGGAAACUGGGGAGCUUGAGUGCAGAAGAGGAGAGUGGAAUUCCACGUGUAGCGGUGAAAUGCGUAGAUAUGUGGAGGAACACCAGUGGCGAAAGCGGCUCUCUGGUCUGUAACUGACGCUGAGGCGCGAAAGCGUGGGGAGCAAACAGG
This 253-nucleotide ribosomal RNA is filed under the name uncultured bacterium. RNAcentral's name for it is "partial 16S ribosomal RNA". It matches the Rfam family "Bacterial small subunit ribosomal RNA", at positions 524 to 776 of the family's 1533-position model. The record is from RNAcentral.